Long non-coding RNA from Aquila chrysaetos chrysaetos, 505 nucleotides. RefSeq lists it as uncharacterized. The record is from RefSeq and is a predicted model, not a curated record. NCBI's taxonomy places the organism in Eukaryota, Metazoa, Chordata, Aves, Accipitriformes, Accipitridae. The transcript is spliced from 3 exons.
CUUGGGAACUGGUGCCACCAGAUAAAGUUCAUUCCUGAGCUCAAGCUUGUUGCCUCCUGCUCAGCAGCUGAUAAGAGCCAUGAUGCUUACUUUGUUUCCAUUAAAAUAACACCGGCAAACCCUGAGAUUUGGGAUCUGCUUCACUUGUCAUGAAACAGCCUGAAGAAGAAGAGACUGCUCAAGGAAAAGGACAUCAGCAAGUGUGGUUCUGUGCUUUAGGUGAUUUUACAACAGAAAUGUGAGAAGAAUCCUGACACAACUAUCCUAAUCACCAGUUCUGAGGAUGGCUGUAUUUAUGCUUCAUUAGUAGGUAAGAAAGGGGGAAUGCUGGGCAAAUUCUGAGCAGAGCACUGUAAAGGUGAGUGCAGUUGACCAGACCACGUCUAUAGAAGCUGAUGACUGGAUCUUCUUGACUGGGCAUUAGAGUAUCUUCAGGAGGAAACUAAACUAAAAUACUUACCCAUACUGAAUGCAGAAAUAUGGUCCAGCAGGGUGCUGACUUUAU